GCAUAGUAAUAGCUACCAACAGCUGUUCUCAGUUAAAUUAUUAUCGCACGUGUAGUUUUUGUUUUGCAAAUAAUUUUGUAGUAAAAUGAAACCUAAGCCGCAAAAAAACCAGGGUAAAAUCAAUAAGAAGCAAGCAGCCAACACUGGAAAAUCAAGCCAAAGGCAAAACCCCAAUUUUAAGCAUAAAUUCAAGCCGAAAAAGGAGGCGACAGAAAAGAAACCCAACAAGCCGGAAAUAAGAAAAAUGAUACGCCAGAAGAAGGCAGCGGAGGCCGAGGCGGAACGCCAAAAGAUCAAGCAGGAGAAGGAGGAGCGCAUUAAGGCAUAUAAGAAGCAGCGUCUCGAGAAAACCAAAGUGAUAAGCAAACGCACCCAACGCGGGCAACCACUGAUGAAAGAUCGCAUGCAACUUUUGCUCAAGCAGAUUGAAGAAAUGAAGCGACAUUAAAAGAGCGAGUUCGAGUGGCUUUUGAUGAUCGCCUUUUUGCUGUGCAUUGGCGAUAUUUUGGCAGCACCGAAGCGCAAGUCAAAGCCCAAACCCAAAUUUCCCAUAAAGUUGCCAAAAAUUAACAUAAAUAUUCAUCAUAAUAAUAUUCACAUUGGUUGAAGGGCAGCUCGUUCUACAAACUAGACAUAAAGUAUUUGGAAUAAGUUUCACUUAAGAUAUUUAUAGCUUCAUCCCUCUAUGUUGGGAGGUUUUAAGUAUAUAUAAACAAAAGAAGCGGAGUUUAAUGAGUGCAGAACUGGGCAUUCAGAUAAAUCUCUAGACCCAUUUCAUAAUAAAGUUAUGUUUAUCUUCUGCAAA
Molecule: RNA transcript, 805 nt
Organism: Drosophila albomicans
Lineage: Eukaryota; Metazoa; Arthropoda; Insecta; Diptera; Drosophilidae
Gene name: thyroid transcription factor 1-associated protein 26
Exons: 4
Source: RefSeq, a predicted model, not a curated record